This 254-nucleotide ribosomal RNA is filed under the name uncultured bacterium. RNAcentral describes it as "partial 16S ribosomal RNA". It matches the Rfam family "Bacterial small subunit ribosomal RNA", at positions 524 to 776 of the family's 1533-position model. The record is from RNAcentral.
UACGUAGGGUCCAAGCGUUAUCCGGAUUUACUGGGCGUAAAGAGUUGCGUAGGUGGCAUUGUAAGCGAGUAGUGAAAUCAUCCGGCUUAACCGGGUAUCCAUUAUUCGAACUGCAGCGCUAGAGGACAAGAGAGGUCACUGGAAUUCCUAGUGUAGGAGUGAAAUCCGUAGAUAUUAGGAGGAACACCGAUGGCGUAGGCAGGUGACUGGCUUGUUCCUGACACUAAGGCACGAAAGCGUGGGGAGCGAACGGG